ACACAACCAGAUCUGUUUGGGCUAUCAGCAGACCAGCACCAUGAACAGUCAGAUGCGACACUGGAAUUCGGACUCCUGGGUUCCAAAGGGGGUGGGGGACUCUUGGUGGUAUCAUGGGUGGAGAGCAUAUGUCUCACUGGCUCUGACCUGGUCUCUGUUACCAGUGCUUCUGGGUCCUGGCCCUUCCCCUGAGACCCCCAGUUCCCCCAGUGAUGCCCACCCAGGGCCCCAGUCUUCCACUCUUGGAGCUCACACUCAGGGUAAGGGGGUCACCUGGGAGGGACAGUAUUGCAGCGUGGAACUGCUGAGUCUCAGAGUUCUAAGCCGGGUACUGAUUGGUGUUUGAUGCCCACUAACACCUGUUUGGAACCUCCCUUCACCACAGCUGGACAUCCCAGCCAGUGUCCUGCACGGGCAAUUUGGCAGUUGUUCUUGGCAUGGCUACAGGGGCUACAACUGGUAUCGGGAUACCCCAGACCAGUGCUCUAACCUGUGUGUUUAGGGAUCCUGAGACUGUGUGGAGUGAAGCUGAAAGGCAGCAUGAAAACUUGCUGUUAGCCCCACCUGUGCCUGUUCUGUGCACCAACUACCCUAAAGCUGAGCCUCCCCCCUCCUUCUCGGUCGGCAGGCGUGCGCAGGGACCUUUCCCCAGCCUCAGCCUCCCGAUCCAUCCCCAUCCCACUCCUCCUGGCCUGUGUGGCGGCGGCCUUCGCUUUGGGCGCCUCAGUCUCCGGCCUCUUGG
RNAcentral lists this long non-coding RNA (742 nucleotides) under Rattus norvegicus (Norway rat). RNAcentral's name for it is "long non-coding RNA NONRATT015554". Lineage: Eukaryota; Metazoa; Chordata; Mammalia; Rodentia; Muridae. The record is from RNAcentral.